GCCAUCGCGCAAUUCUGAAGUUAUAUCAGAAA
This 32-nucleotide non-coding RNA is filed under the name Geobacter sulfurreducens KN400. The record is from RNAcentral. Lineage: Bacteria; Pseudomonadati; Thermodesulfobacteriota; Desulfuromonadia; Geobacterales; Geobacteraceae.